ACCGACGAGGGUGACUAUCAGGUCAAGAUGAAGAACCUGACGCGUUUCCUCGAAGGUGGCGACAAGGGCAAAGUGACACUGCGUUUCCGUGGUCGUGAAAUGGCGCACCAGGACAUUGGCCGUAAGCUGAUGGAGCGGAUCGCCGCCGAUCUCGAAGAGAUUGGUACCGUGGAGUCUUUCCCUAAGAUGGAAGGACGUCAGAUGAUCAUGAUCAUUGCCCCCAAGAAGAAGUGAUUCGACGGCCCGUCCAACGGACAGAAGCUUACCCUGGCUUUUGUCGGCCCCGAAUUUUCUAAAAAACCUCGAGCGGAGUUUACUCUCAUGCCGA
Molecule: unclassified non-coding RNA, 328 nt
Filed under: Halomonas korlensis
Lineage: Bacteria; Pseudomonadati; Pseudomonadota; Gammaproteobacteria; Oceanospirillales; Halomonadaceae
Description: Long range pseudoknot
Source: RNAcentral